This is a long non-coding RNA of Biomphalaria glabrata, 460 nucleotides long. RefSeq lists it as uncharacterized. The record is from RefSeq and is a predicted model, not a curated record. The transcript has 3 exons. NCBI's taxonomy places the organism in Eukaryota, Metazoa, Mollusca, Gastropoda, Planorbidae.
ACUGUGUUUUUUUCUUUUCAUAUCAGAUAUUUGCCCGGCUGAUAAAUUUAUAGGAAAGAUGUUUUAAAAAAACCUAGCUAAACUACAUACAUUUUAAAGACACAGCUCCCGAAGGAUCCAGCCAUUGGUCAUCAGUUUUGUAACCAUCGUAGAUUGAAAAUAAAAAAGGGCAGACUUCAAUAUUUUCAGCACCAUUAUCAAAAGCUAUGAAGUACAACUAUCAACAAACUUGAACAAACACAACCCUAUCGACCUAGAUGUACUGUGGUCUGCUGACAUUUUCAUUACUAUCGUUAAUAUUCAUUAGUAUUCAAUGAACUGAUUGGUAUGAAUGCAUUCAAAGAAGAAGGCCAAGCCUCGUUUUUAAAGUUACCAACCGACUACCCUGAGACUCCAAGACACACAGACAUCAAUCUGGUUAUUAUUCGUGCUCAUUUUAUGAGUGGCAAUUCGUGUUUGU